RNAcentral lists this ribosomal RNA (216 nucleotides) under uncultured bacterium. RNAcentral's name for it is "partial 16S ribosomal RNA". It matches the Rfam family "Bacterial small subunit ribosomal RNA", at positions 524 to 733 of the family's 1533-position model. The record is from RNAcentral.
UACGGAGGAUGCAAGGCGUUAUCCGGAAUGAUUGGGCGUAAGCGUCCGCAGGUGGCUAUGUAAGUCUGCUGUUAAAGAAGUGAGGGCUCAACCUCAUAAAAGCAGUGGAAACUACAUGGCUAGAGUGGCGUUCGGGGGCAGAGGGAAGUUCCUGGAUGUAGCGGUGAAAUGCGUAGAUAUCGAGAGGAACACCUGCGGCGAAGGCGGGUUGCUGGG